RNAcentral lists this unclassified non-coding RNA (300 nucleotides) under uncultured fungus. RNAcentral describes it as "sequence contains 5.8S rRNA gene, ITS2". Lineage: Eukaryota; Fungi. The record is from RNAcentral.
GCGUCAGAUGUGUAUAAGAGACAGUCCUCCGCUUAUUGAUAUGCUUAAGUUCAGCGGGUAUCCCUACCUGAUCCGAGGUCAACCUAGAAAAAUUUGGGGUUGCUGGCCAGCAUCUCCCAGGACCCUAUAGCGAGAAAAUUACUACGCGUAGAGCCUAAGAGCACCGCCACUAGUUUUAAGGCCCGCCAGACGGCGAAGCCCAACACCUAGCCAGGCUAGAUUGGUAUAAAUGACGCUCGAACAGGCAUGCCCCCCGGAAUACCAGGGGGCGCAAUGUGCGUUCAAAGAUUCGAUGACUCA